CCUACGGGCGGCAGCAGUCGAGAAUCAUUCACAAUGGGGGAAACCCUGAUGGUGCGACGCCGCGUGGGGGAAUGAAGGUCUUCGGAUUGUAAACCCCUGUCAUGUGGGAGCAAAUUAAAAAGAUAGUACCACAUGAGGAAGAGACGGCUAACUCUGUGCCAGCAGCCGCGGUAAUACAGAGGUCUCAAGCGUUGUUCGGAAUCACUGGGCGUAAAGCGUGCGUAGGCUGUUUCGUAAGUCGUGUGUGAAAGGCGCGGGCUCAACCCGCGGACGGCACAUGAUACUGCGAGACUAGAGUAAUGGAGGGGGAACCGGAAUUCUCGGUGUAGCAGUGAAAUGCGUAGAUAUCGAGAGGAACACUCAUGGCGAAGGCGGGUUCCUGGACAUUAACUGACGCUGAGGCACGAAGGCCAGGGGAGCGAAAGGGAUUAGAUACCCCAGUAGUC
Molecule: ribosomal RNA, 446 nt
Filed under: uncultured bacterium
Lineage: Bacteria
Description: partial 16S ribosomal RNA
Rfam family: Bacterial small subunit ribosomal RNA
Source: RNAcentral